GAACGGUAGAGAAGAUAGAUUCAAAAGGGAAGAAAGGGAGAAAGGUGUAUUCGGUAAUCAAAGAAGAGAGAAAGUAAAAAGAAAGAAGAAAAAGAAAAAGAUGAGGAAGGAGAGUUUAUUCAUCCAAAAAGAAAAUAGGUGAAAAGGAGAAGAGCAGUCAAAAGAAAACAAACCCGAGAGGUACCCAAAAACUUAGCAAAAAUCGACACCUACAAGUAGGGAGAGGGAAAACCACACAAAAUCGGCAUGAAAAGAAUAGCAAAAAAUGAACAAAAUGCCCACUAGCCGAAUUUUCCUGAGUAACAAGUCCAAUUUUCGGCACCACUCCCUUCUCCCCUCACUUCCCUUGAUUUUCUCCUAAAAUCUCUCCCCUUAUCCCUCCUUGAAUCACUCCACCAAUUUCUCCUCAACUCCCCAAACAACUCCAUUCAAACACCCCUUAGCUGCGUUUCAGUCCAACUCCA
This 464-nucleotide long non-coding RNA is filed under the name Gossypium raimondii (Peruvian cotton). RNAcentral describes it as "long non-coding RNA (GRAI_LNC003602)". The record is from RNAcentral. Lineage: Eukaryota; Viridiplantae; Streptophyta; Magnoliopsida; Malvales; Malvaceae.